RNAcentral lists this long non-coding RNA (4923 nucleotides) under Marmota monax (woodchuck). Lineage: Eukaryota; Metazoa; Chordata; Mammalia; Rodentia; Sciuridae. The record is from RNAcentral.
AGUUUGAUUCAUUCUCUCUAACAGAUCAUGUUUUCCAGAAUAUCAUCUUCCAAUGCCUUCUUUAAUUGUAUGUAUCUCCUGGGGACCACAAAUAUGAGUGACAGGAUAAUAGGAGGACAUACCACAGCUAUGUGGGUAAGCUAAUCUUCAAGUGAGAUGUUCCUACAAUCUAGAAUUCUUCUAUUGUUUUCAUCUUUCAAGGUAUUAAAUAUCCAUAAUUUUGUUAGGAGAAAAAAACACCCUCUUUUUAUAAGGUAGUUAAGCCCAACUCCUAUAUAAUUGAAAAAAAAAAAAGAAAGAAAAAACAAAAUAGAAAAUAGAAGCCAAUACAGGAUUAGGAAAGAAAAGCAGGUUUUCUCUCAGAACUACUCUUAAAUGAGUCAAAUUUAAAAUAAUAAUAAUAAUAAUAAUAAUAAAAAUAAUACAAACAACAUUGAAUAUAUGAACUUAAUACUAGAAUUGAAAAUCUUUUGUCUAUUGUUAUUGAUUCUUAAUAUGUGAUAAUUCUCCUUCAGUUUUAACUAAUUAUCUUAUAUGAAUAGUGUAUGCCUAGUAAUUUUUAAAUGAAAAGUUUUGUACCACUGACACAUUUUCUAAUCUACUCCCAAAACUAUUUUGCUUCUAAGUUUCAAAUCAGAUUCAUGGUUCUUUAAUUUAUAUAUCUGGAAAGUAGAACAAAUUCUCUCAUUGAAAAAUACAUAUCUAAUAUAUGUAUUUAUAUAUAAAUAAAUUAUUUAAAUAUAAAUACAUUAUCAUUCUGAAAAAAGCAAUCUAUAAUUUGUCUGAAUCUAAAACAAUUCUCCCAUUUUAAAAAUAAUUACUAGGUAAAUCUAAGUGCAGAUAUUUGUGGUGAUAAUUUUCUAAUUCAAGUGAGUAUAUAAUGUGUGCCUAGGGAUAAUGUGAACAAUUCAGAAUUUAUUUUAAAUUACCAAAUAUGUUGUAAAUUCUUAUCAAAAUUAUAUUAUUUUAAAAAUUAAGCUCAUCUUCAAAAAUUAAAUUAUUAAUUAGAAAGUUGUUUAUCUUAAAUUUCAACAUGCCAGUCAAAUGCAUUGAAUGAAAAUAUAUUUAAUAAAAAAUACCAUUGAUAAACUUAUUUUAUUUAUGAUAGUCUACUCUUGAGGCUUACUCAAAAUUGUUUAUAAUUUUUCACUGAAAAGAUAGUUAUACUUUAUAGAAAAUAUGGUAAUAAUGAUAAGAACACUAGACAGAAGGAUAUUAAUUACAAAACAUAAAGUGACUUUAUUAUUUUAUUGUAUGUAGUAUUUACUUAGACUACCAUUAGCCUGAUAUUUCAAUUUAAUUAGUUUUUUAAUUCUCAAAAUUUCUUUGUAAAAUUAAUAAAUGUGGUUUGAUGAUAUGUCAUAAUGUCAGCAUUUUUAAAAAAUAAAAAUACUUUGUUUAUCAGAACAAAAACUGGUUUAGGUAAAUGAAUGCUAAGUGGCUUAUUGAAUUAAAAAGUCUAGUGAAAUUUAAUAAUAAUUAACAUUAAAAACUUCAUUCUGUAUAAAUUGCAUAGCACAGUACAAGAGGAAACAGUUUUACAUAAUAAAGUUAUGUGAACAGUGUAAUUAAUAAUUACUAUUUUUAAACAAGUGGGAAAAAGAAAAAAAAAUACCUUUAACCAUUUAAAAUAACUUUGCUUUUAUUGUUGUUAUUGUUGUUUCUCCUGCUUUUGAAAUCAUUAUUAGCAGAAGAUGCUUACCAGGCUAGAAUUAUUCCAACCAAGUGUUCUGUAAUGAAACAAGAAAAUUUCUUUAAUUAGGUUUCUUAAGAAAUUUUCUGAAAAAAAAAGAAAUUUACUUAAUUAGGUUUCUUAUUACUCAGUUUUCUUAAUUUCCUUGGAUGAAAAGAAAAUCGGGAGAAUCUCAAAUUAAUUAUUCUUUAAUAUGAAUAGAUGGUACUCUAGUACUUAUUCAAUGGCUUUCACUCAUGAAACUUAUUACAUAUUACAAAUACUGUUUCAUUAAUUAUCACUCAAUGAGGACAAACAGCAUGACAAGUUUUAAAUAAUUUCGAAAAACUUAAAAUAUUAAUAUCAUAUUCUACUUACAGAAAAUAAGGCAUAAUCCUCACUGAGUGAUCAUGUUCAGUAUUCUAGAAAAUGAAAACAUCAAUCUAUGUCAUUAAGGAAAACUGACUUAACACUACUCUAAAGUACAAAUAUAAUUGGUACAAUGAAUUCUAAAAAGUGGGGCUCUCACCUAUGAGAACAAAGGCAAGAAAUGUAACAAAAUUCCCAGAAACUCGGCCCUUCCAAAUAUAAGAUAAGCUGAAACUUCUGUUUUUAUCCAUAUUACCAAUGAAAAUGGUGGGUCUGAUACUGAGUUGAAGCUUCUUAUAUUUUAAAAACUAUUUCAGAUGAAAAAGAACUGUCUGUAAGUUCCUUCAGUUUGUUGACACUUCUGUAAUUUUAGUAUUUAAAAAUUUAUGAUUUUUUAGCCUCAGUUUAAAUAUUAAAAUCAGUAUCACUUGUCUCAACCUGCGUAAUAACCUAUUCAGGGGUAACCAAAUCCAUCAAUGAGGGGAUGGAAAAAGACAACAGACAUAUGAAUGGAGAAAAAGCUGGGGCUUGGUGGUUCAGCCAACCUCUGAUGGCGGAAGCCUGACUGUGAGAAGUUUGGCAUCUUUUUAUAUAAGUUUAAACAUCACAAGGAUUUAUUGUGGGAAAGUUUCUUCAAAGCAAGUACAAUCAAGGUCAUGAGUAUUAACAGCCCAAUUAUGAUUAUCAGCUUUCACCCAUAACUUUCUACUCCCUGAGCAAGGAAAAGAAAUGAAUAGCUCCAUGACUGGCACAGAACUACCUAUUGAACAGGGUGUCACCGUAACAACUGGCUAUCUUCAUUACUGAUUUUGCACCAAGUGUUCUCCAGAGGGGCAUAGCCUCUGUCACAGGACAGUUCGGGACGCAUAAUUCAGUUGCUGCUCCCAACAAUCACUUGAACGGUAUAUAACUUAGAUUUUAACUAAAACACUUAAAAUUUUCAAUGUCAAGUCCUAUUGGAUAUAUGACUCAUGCAAUGAGUAGAUAAAUAAUAGAUUGUGGAGUACUGAUGGUUGGAUAGAGUUAUCUAAGGAUGUUUGUCAGUCUUUUUAUAGACAAUACUUUUUAGUCAUUAAUUAAUUAUUUGUAACUUUUAAAAAUUACAUUAAUUUAAAGUUAGUCUGUGAAUUACCUGAUAGAAUUUCUAUGACAAGUCAGAGUCCCUAAAAUGUGAGCUGAUAGCAAGUUUUCCUGAGAACCCAAGACAUAUUUAUCAGCCAAUUACCUUUAAUUUCUCAAACUGUUGUGUGCACUCAAAAUCACAACAAGUAAUCUUAAAAGCAUCAAAUAUUAUAAAUAUAUUGAUCAAAACAAUCUCAUUUUAUGUUUAUUUAUUUACUGUUGAGCCAGCAUGUACUCUGCAGUGAGCUACAACCCAAGACCUGUCAUCUAAGGAAUUUGUAAAUAAAAUUCUCAAUGACAAAAAAUUCCAUUAGAUAUACUUCUUGAGUACUUUAUGAAUUUUAAAAGUUUAUCUUAAAGUAUAAUAUGUCUUUAAAUAUGAAUUCUUACUUUCAAAGAAUGUUUGUAAUAGUGAUUUAAUUUAACACUCAGAGAGCCUGCUGGGUUCAAAAAGGCAGACAUUACUGUCCACGGUUUUCAACAGUGCAAAUUGAUGCUUGGACAGUUUAAGCGAAUAUUUUAAGGUUGUAAAAACAAUAUGAAUCCAUUACACCACCACUGUGGUUCAAUAUAUAGAAAAAUAAAAAUCAAAAUGUGAAAUUUUCAGUACUUAUCCAACUGUUCUUUGCCAUAAAGCUAUAUGGUGCCCACAUGAACUUUUUCUGUCUUCCAGGUUACCAUCUAGACAAGAAGCAGAAGGGAUCGGAAAGAACUCAAAAGAUGCAUAUUUAACAGACCAAUUGCCUUUUUAUUUUGAGUCUUUGUAGUUGAAUUCCGAGAAACUUUAUUAUUUUUUUUUCUGAGAAAGAAAAGUUCUGAAAAAUCUUGCAAUGUUUGAUGAACACAAAUGGAUUGAAUUAAGAAGACAGUGCUUACCUUUAAAUUAGUGAAGGAAUAUAGGUAAUACAUUAAUGAAGGAGUAUACCAGUCUUCUUCAAGACUUCUUGGGCAUAUUGUAAUCCAUAAAUUAAUAUUCAUUGAUUAAACAUUAUAGGGUAUGCCUGUGACAAAUUUAGGGCAUUAUUUAUUAAUUUAGUUGAACAAUUAUUAUGUGUCUACUAUGUGCACUGUUGCCUUAACUGAACAAGUAAUAAUCCUAAAUUCAAGGGGUUUAAGAUAGAAUCACAGUCUCUCCAGUAAUAUUAGAGAGUGUCUAAUGCAAAAUAUUCACAGAAAACAAUUUUAAAAGGAAAUAGGAGAACAACAAUUUUAAGUGACUUUCUCCAAGUUUAAGGAAUAGUUUCAAAGAAUAUCUGGACAUCCUGAUUAUAUUUUGGAACAGAAGUUAAUUGUUUUUAUGUGAACAGAUAUUUUACUAUUAUUUUGAAAAUGUUGCUAAAAGGAGUAUUAAAUAAGCAAAGAAAAGACCAUUAGCUUGAAUAUAUUGCUGUAUUUUUGAGUUCAUAGAUAACAAGCCAUAAUCUUAUUUACUACAUCAACCAACAUACACCUAAUUAGGAGUGUUUUUUUUUUUUUUUGAAUAGCCAUGUUUCAGCCAAUCAUUGAUAAGUUCCAGUUAGUCAUAGGCUACCAACCAGCUAGAACAUGUCCAAUUAAUGGGAAUAUCAAGCUGUUUUCCAAUCAGAUAACUUUUCCAUUUUGCUUCCAUGUUCAGUCUGUAUACGCUUGCUGCUUACACCACUGAUGGAACUCUGAACCUCCUUGAAUUCUGAGAAGUGUCCAGUUCAUAAAUCACUCUUUACUCAAAUAAACUAUUAAAUUUAAUUUGUCUGAAUUUUUUCUUUUAACAAGGAUUAGAG